UACGAAGGGGGCUAGCGUUGCUCGGAAUCACUGGGCGUAAAGCGCACGUAGGCGGCUUCUUAAGUCAGGGGUGAAAUCCUGGAGCUCAACUCCAGAACUGCCUUUGAUACUGAGAAGCUUGAGUCCGGGAGUGGUGAGUGGAACUGCGAGUGUAGAGGUGAAAUUCGUAGAUAUUCGCAAGAACACCAGUGGCGAAGGCGGCUCACUGGCCCGGUACUGACGCUGAGGUGCGAAGGCGUGGGGAGCAAACAGG
RNAcentral lists this ribosomal RNA (253 nucleotides) under uncultured bacterium. RNAcentral describes it as "partial 16S ribosomal RNA". It matches the Rfam family "Bacterial small subunit ribosomal RNA", at positions 524 to 776 of the family's 1533-position model. The record is from RNAcentral.